Molecule: ribosomal RNA, 378 nt
Filed under: uncultured bacterium
Lineage: Bacteria
Description: bacterial SSU rRNA
Rfam family: Bacterial small subunit ribosomal RNA
Source: RNAcentral
UAAUACGGGGGGAGCAAGCGUUGUUCGGAUUUACUGGGCGUAAAGGGCGCGUAGGCGGCCACCGCAAGUCAGUUGUGAAAUCUCUGGGCUUAACCCAGAAAGGUCAACUGAUACUGCGGGGCUAGAGUGCAGAAGGGGCAACUGGAAUUCUCGGUGUAGCGGUGAAAUGCGUAGAUAUCGAGAGGAACACCUGCGGCGAAGGCGGGUUGCUGGGCUGACACUGACGCUGAAGCGCGAAAGCUAGGGGAGCGAACGGGAUUAGAUACCCCGGUAGUCCUAGCCUUAAACGAUGAAUGCUUGGUGUCUGGGGUUUUAUAGUCCCCGGGUGCCGUCGCUAACGCUUUAAGCAUUCCGCCUGGGGAGUACGGUCGCAAGACU